This 315-nucleotide ribosomal RNA is filed under the name uncultured fungus. Its description in RNAcentral is "eukaryotic LSU rRNA". The stretch from base 1 to 89 matches the Rfam family "5.8S ribosomal RNA", at positions 65 to 154 of the family's 154-position model. The record is from RNAcentral. Lineage: Eukaryota; Fungi.
AUGUGAAUUGCAAAUUCAGUGAAUCAUCGAAUCUUUGAACGCACAUUGCGCCCGCCAGCAUUCUGGCGGGCAUGCCUGUUCGAGCGUCAUUUCAACCCUCGACUUCCCUUUGGGGAAAUCGGCGUUGGGGACUGGCAGCAUACCGCCGGCCCCGAAAUGGAGUGGCGGCCCGUCCGCGGCGACCUCUGCGUAGUAAUCCAACCUCGCACCGGAACCCCGACGUGGCCACGCCGUAAAACACCCCACUUUCUGAACGUUGACCUCGGAUCAGGUAGGAAUACCCGCUGAACUUAAGCAUAUCAAUAAGCGGAGGAA